CGAAGGGGCUAGCGUUGUUCGGAAUUACUGGGCGUAAAGCGAGUGUAGGUGGUUGUCGUAGUCAGGCGUGAAAGCCUUGAGCUCAACUCAAGAAAUGCGCUUGAUACUGGGCAGCUAGAGGACCGGAGAGGAUAGUGGAAUUCCCAGUGUAGUGGUGAAAUACGUAGAGAUUGGGAAGAACACCAGUGGCGAAGGCGGCUAUCUGGACGGUUUCUGACACUAAGACUCGAAAGCGUGGGGAGCAAACAGGAUU
This 253-nucleotide ribosomal RNA is filed under the name uncultured bacterium. RNAcentral's name for it is "partial 16S ribosomal RNA". It matches the Rfam family "Bacterial small subunit ribosomal RNA", at positions 527 to 779 of the family's 1533-position model. The record is from RNAcentral.